Molecule: unclassified non-coding RNA, 253 nt
Filed under: uncultured Ignavibacteria bacterium
Lineage: Bacteria; Pseudomonadati; Ignavibacteriota; Ignavibacteria
Description: contains 16S-23S intergenic spacer region
Rfam family: Bacterial small subunit ribosomal RNA
Source: RNAcentral
UACGUAGGGUGCGAGCGUUGUCCGGAUUCACGGGGUGUAAAGGGAGCGCAUGUGGGUUGGCAAGUCAUUGGUGAAAUUCUCAGGCUCAACCUGGGAACCGCCAAUGAUACUGCUGAUCUUGAGGGCGGGAGAGGAAGACGGAAUUCAUGGUGUAGCGGUGAAAUGCGUAGAUAUCAGGAAGAACACCGGUGGCGAAGGCGGUCUUCUGGCCCGUUACUGACGCUCAUGCUCGAAAGCGUGGGGAGCAAACAGG